CCUAGAGUUGUAGGCUUUGCCUGCUAUCUCUUACCCAUGUCUUUUGAGUACCUUACGUUUCCUCGGUGGGUUCGCCCACCGAUUGGACAAACUUAAACCCUUUGCAGUUGAAAUCAGCGUCUGAAAAAACUUAAUAGCUA
This 140-nucleotide unclassified non-coding RNA is filed under the name soil metagenome. Its description in RNAcentral is "partial internal transcribed spacer 1". The record is from RNAcentral.